GAUGGUAUAGCUCAGGGGUAGAGUGCGUGCUUAGCAUGCAUGGGUUCAAAUCCCACUACCUCCA
RNAcentral lists this transfer RNA (64 nucleotides) under Camelus bactrianus (Bactrian camel). It matches the Rfam family "tRNA". Rfam says of the family: Transfer RNA (tRNA) molecules are approximately 80 nucleotides in length. Their secondary structure includes four short double-helical elements and three loops (D, anti-codon, and T loops). RNAcentral also lists the same sequence under 2 other names. Lineage: Eukaryota; Metazoa; Chordata; Mammalia; Artiodactyla; Camelidae. The record is from Rfam by way of RNAcentral.